AGCGGUGGAGCAUGUGGUUUAAUUCGAAGCAACGCGAAGAACCUUACCAGGUCUUGACAUACCAUUGACCGUUCUAGAGAUAGGAUUUUCCCUUCGGGGACAAUGGAUACAGGUGGUGCAUGGUUGUCGUCAGCUCGUGUCGUGAGAUGUUGGGUUGAGUCCCGCAACGAGCGCAACCCCUGUCGUUAGUUGCCAGCAUUCAGUUGGGGACUCUAACGAGACUGCCAGUGACAAACUGGAGGAAGGUGGGGAUGACGUCAAAUCAUCAUGCCCCUUAUGACCUGGGCUACACACGUGCUACAAUGGUUGGUACAAAGAGAAGCGAAGCGGUGACGUGGAGCAAACCUCAUAAAGCCAAUCUCAGUUCGGAUUGUAGGCUGCAACUCGCCUACAUGAAGUUGGAAUCGCUAGUAAUCGCGAAUCAGAAUGUCGCGGUGAAUACGUUCCCGGGUCUUGUACACACCGCCCGUCACACCACGAGAGUUUACAACACCCGAAGUCAGUGGCCUAACCGCAAGGAGGGAGCUGCCUAAGGUGGGGUAGAUGAUUGGGGUGAAGUCGUAACAAGGUAUCCCUACCGGAAGGUGCGGCUGGAUCACCUC
RNAcentral lists this ribosomal RNA (602 nucleotides) under uncultured bacterium. RNAcentral describes it as "bacterial SSU rRNA". It matches the Rfam family "Bacterial small subunit ribosomal RNA", at positions 928 to 1529 of the family's 1533-position model. The record is from RNAcentral.